This 505-nucleotide ribosomal RNA is filed under the name uncultured bacterium. RNAcentral describes it as "partial 16S ribosomal RNA". It matches the Rfam family "Bacterial small subunit ribosomal RNA", at positions 28 to 507 of the family's 1533-position model. The record is from RNAcentral.
GACGAACGCUGGCGGCGUGCCUAAUACAUGCAAGUGGGACGCAAGGACACACACAGUGCUUGCACACCGUGUUUUCUUGAGUCGCGAACGGGUGAGUAACGCGUAGGUAACCUGCCUAUUAGCGGGGGAUAACUAUUGGAAACGAUAGCUAAUACCGCAUAAUAUUAAUUAUUGCAUGAUAAUUGAUUGAAAGAUGCAAGCGCAUCACUAGUAGAUGGACCUGCGUUGUAUUAGCUAGUUGGUAAGGUAAGAGCUUACCAAGGCGACGAUACAUAGCCGACCUGAGAGGGUGAUCGGCCACACUGGGACUGAGACAAGGCCCAGACUCCUACGGGAGGCAGCAGUAGGGAAUCUUCGGCAAUGGACGAAAGUCUGACCGAGCAACGCCGCGUGAGUGAAGAAGGUUUUCGGAUCGUAAAGCUCUGUUGUAAGUCAAGAACGUGUGUGAGAGUGGAAAGUUCACACAGUGACGGUAGCUUACCAGAAAGGGACGGCUAACUACGUG